This 619-nucleotide ribosomal RNA is filed under the name uncultured bacterium. RNAcentral's name for it is "bacterial SSU rRNA". It matches the Rfam family "Bacterial small subunit ribosomal RNA", at positions 76 to 669 of the family's 1533-position model. The record is from RNAcentral.
GUGUUUACAUGGCGAAAUUCUUAGUGGCGGACGGGUGAGUAACGCGUGGGUAACCUACCCAUAAAGCUGGGACAACCCUUGGAAACGAGGGCUAAUACCGGAUAAUCUUAGAUGCUGGCAUCAGUAUUUAAGGAAAGAUGGCCUCUGCAUAUGCUAUCGAUUAUGGAUGGACCCGCGUCUGAUUAGCUAGUUGGUGGGGUAAAGGCCUACCAAGGCGACGAUCAGUAGCCGGCCUGAGAGGGUGAACGGCCACACUGGGACUGAGACACGGCCCAGACUCCUACGGGAGGCAGCAGUGGGGAAUCUUCCGCAAUGGACGAAAGUCUGACGGAGCAACGCCGCGUGUAUGAUGAAGGUCUUCGGAUUGUAAAGUACUGUCUUUGGGGAAGAACGGUCUCCUUGAAAAUAUUGAGGAGACAUGACGGUACCCAAGGAGGAAGCCCCGGCUAACUACGUGCCAGCAGCCGCGGUAAUACGUAGGGUGCGAGCGUUAAUCGGAAUUACUGGGCGUAAAGCGUGCGCAGGCGGUUCUAUAAGACAGAUGUGAAAUCCCCGGGCUUAACCUGGGAACUGCGUUUGUGACUGUAGGACUCGAGUGUGGCAAAGGGGGGUGGAAUUC